Flavobacterium sp. is the source of this 87-nucleotide non-coding RNA. Lineage: Bacteria; Pseudomonadati; Bacteroidota; Flavobacteriia; Flavobacteriales; Flavobacteriaceae. The record is from Rfam.
AUUUAGCCCCGAUAGAAGUGAAAAUCCUUGUAAGUCUCGUCUUUUGGGACGAGACUUACAAGAUUGUAGCGGAUAGCGGGACUUAUG